AGGACGAACGCUGGCGGCGUGCUUAACACAUGCAAGUCGAGCGGAAAGGCCCUUCGGGGUACUCGAGCGGCGAACGGGUGAGUAACACGUGAGGAACCUGCCCCGGACUUUGGGAUAACCCUCGGAAACGGGGGCUAAUACCGAAUAUUACUGCUGGCCGCAUGGUUGGUGGUGGAAAGUUUUUCGGUCUGGGAUGGUCUCGCGGCCUAUCAGCUUGUUGGUGGGGUAAUGGCCUACCAAGGCGACGACGGGUAGCC
Molecule: ribosomal RNA, 257 nt
Filed under: uncultured bacterium
Lineage: Bacteria
Description: partial small subunit ribosomal RNA
Rfam family: Bacterial small subunit ribosomal RNA
Source: RNAcentral